UUUGGUGGCGAUAGCGAAGAGGUCACACCCGUUCCCAUGCCGAACACGGAAGUUAAGCUCUUCAGCGCCGAUGGUAGUCGGGGUUUUC
Molecule: ribosomal RNA, 88 nt
Filed under: Bacillus spizizenii
Lineage: Bacteria; Bacillati; Bacillota; Bacilli; Caryophanales; Bacillaceae
Source: RNAcentral